Molecule: transfer RNA, 72 nt
Filed under: Camelus bactrianus (Bactrian camel)
Lineage: Eukaryota; Metazoa; Chordata; Mammalia; Artiodactyla; Camelidae
Also listed under: 2 other names
Rfam family: tRNA
About the family: Transfer RNA (tRNA) molecules are approximately 80 nucleotides in length.
Source: Rfam by way of RNAcentral
GAGGGUACAGCUCAGUGAUAGAGGGCUUGCUUAGCAUGCACAAGGUCCUGGGUUCAAUCCCCAGUACCUCCA